This 714-nucleotide unclassified non-coding RNA is filed under the name Monomorium pharaonis (pharaoh ant). Its description in RNAcentral is "uncharacterized LOC118647171, transcript variant X1". The record is from RNAcentral. Lineage: Eukaryota; Metazoa; Arthropoda; Insecta; Hymenoptera; Formicidae.
UACCAUACAAAAAUUUUAUUGUAUUUAAUAUUUUUGUUAUUAAAUAAUACUUUUAUAAGAUGUUCUACACUUUUGUCAAAACAUUACAUAUUAUAUAUAUCUUCGACAGAUAUUAGUGACUUUAUUUCGAACGUAAAUUUUAACCAAUUAAAUUAUUGAAGAAUCAUUAUUACAUAAAGUUCAAGUAUUAAUUAAUAUUUGUUUGUUUCUUUGCAGGUUCAUAGAGACCUCAUAGAUACGCUACAAAAAUGACGGAAGCCAUCAAACACAUGUUUUCUCCUAAUUGCCCGCUGCCUCCAAAUUCGUCCCACAUAGAAUUUAUUAAAGAAUCAGAUGAAGUCGAUGGUUUAGAUUUUAGAUUUCCGAUUUGCGUCCGCCCGUUUGGAAAGUUUCAAGGACUGACUGUGAGCGUGGUGUUACGGGCCGGAUUUUCCCAUCCGACCUCGUAACCGACUUAUGAAUUGCAACACUACUAAAAGGAGGAAGAACAUAUCAUUUCCUGUAUAAGCUAACAAUUCUCAUUGAUGAAGGAGCAAAAUCAAAUAUCAGAGGAAACACAGAGGCAGCAAGAGGACUCAUCUCUGCAAAACUAAUCAUAUGGGAUGAGGAAAUUUUAGAUAAAAUCUACCAGUAGUGCCUCAAGUCAAAAAAGCAGCAAUAAAUUAUUAGCUAUAAUGCAGAGCCCUGGCGGAAAAAAUUUCUACGAAAAUGUAA